Molecule: transfer RNA, 76 nt
Filed under: Oscillospiraceae bacterium
Lineage: Bacteria; Bacillati; Bacillota; Clostridia; Eubacteriales; Oscillospiraceae
Description: tRNA-Pro
Rfam family: tRNA
About the family: Transfer RNA (tRNA) molecules are approximately 80 nucleotides in length. Their secondary structure includes four short double-helical elements and three loops (D, anti-codon, and T loops).
Source: RNAcentral
CCGGGUGUGGCGCAGUCGGUAGCGCGCCUGCUUUGGGAGCAGGAGGCCGUGAGUUCGAAUCUCGCCACUCGGACCA